AUUAGUAAAAAAAAAAAAACAUGAGUAAACGUCGUAGAGAAAAGUUACCACAGGUUUUCUCGUAGAGGCGCCGCAUGGUUUGCACCUCCGAGUCCAGAAUGGUCCACUCGACCAUACGGCGCGCCAUCGUAGGGUCGUCAGGACGGGAAUACUCUGGAAUCGUCAAACCGAGCUUCUCCAUCAGCUGUGUCAAGAUGUCAUCAACGUACGUGUGGAUCAACAAGUCUGCUUUGCGAUCCUGAAAAAGUUAUAAAAUAGAGAGAUACCUGCCAAAUUAAGUUCACUUUUAUAGUGCUAAUAAUUUUCAACAAUACAUUAAAUAAUGCAAAAAAGCAUAUGCAACUAAUGGUCUAUCUCUUUCCAUUUACAGUGUGUCUUUCUGUAUUUUUUGUACAAAAAAUAAUAUUACAAAAAUAUUAACCGACCUUUUAUGUCAACAGCAUCUAUCAAUAAAAAUGUUUAAUCAAAUUCAUAAAUUAAAUUUGAAAACUGUGGUCAUUUAAGAUAUUUAAACUCAAAUAUUUUAAAAGAACUAAUUUUACAAAUGAUAAAAAUUACAUUUGUAGAAAAUUUACGAACAAAUCCAACGACAGUUUAAACAUUGGAAUUGAAUGACAAAUAACUGACGUCAUUGCAAGUUUCAGUGUGAAAUGCAUGUCCAAUCUCAAAUUUCUCCACAAUAUCAUAACAGGUUAUAACAAUGGAACAAAUUAUAACACAUUAUUAAAAAUAAAUAAAUGUGAAAUUAUAAAACAUUAA
Molecule: long non-coding RNA, 759 nt
Organism: Homalodisca vitripennis (glassy-winged sharpshooter)
Lineage: Eukaryota; Metazoa; Arthropoda; Insecta; Hemiptera; Cicadellidae
Exons: 2
Source: RefSeq, a predicted model, not a curated record